RNAcentral lists this ribosomal RNA (139 nucleotides) under uncultured bacterium. Its description in RNAcentral is "partial 16S ribosomal RNA". It matches the Rfam family "Bacterial small subunit ribosomal RNA", at positions 355 to 509 of the family's 1533-position model. The record is from RNAcentral.
UGGGGAAUAUUGCACAAUGGGGGGAACCCUGAUGCAGCGACGCCGCGUGGGCGAGGAAGUAUUUCGGUAUGUAAAGCCCUAUCGGCAGGGAAGAAGAAAUGACGGUACCUGAAUAAGAAGCACCGGCUAAAUACGUGCC